This 2164-nucleotide ribosomal RNA is filed under the name human metagenome. RNAcentral's name for it is "bacterial LSU rRNA". It matches the Rfam family "Bacterial large subunit ribosomal RNA", at positions 14 to 2229 of the family's 2925-position model. The record is from RNAcentral.
AGUGCAUGUGGUGGAUGCCUUGGCGAUUACAGGCGAUGAAGGACGUUGUAGCCUGCGAAAAGCCGCGGGGAGCUGGCAAACAAGCUUUGAUCCGCGGAUGUCCGAAUGGGGAAACCCACCCGCAAGGGUAUCGCUGACUGAAUUCAUAGGUCAGCGAGGCGAACGUGGCGAACUGAAACAUCUAAGUAGCCACAGGAAAAGAAAUCAACCGAGAUUCCGAAAGUAGUGGCGAGCGAAAUCGGAGCAGCCUGUGCGUGAUAGUCGAUUGGCUAGUGGAACGGUAUGGAAAGGCCGGCCAUAGAGGGUGAUAGCCCCUUACACGAAAGCGAAUCGGUGGUACUGAGCGUACGACAAGUAGGGCGGGACACGUGUAAUCCUGUCUGAAGAUGGGGGGACCAUCCUCCAAGGCUAAAUACUCGUAAUCGACCGAUAGUGAACAAGUACUGUGAAGGAAAGGCGAAAAGAACCCCGGGAGGGGAGUGAAAUAGAUCCUGAAACCGCAUGCAUACAAACAGUCGGAGCCUCGCAAGGGGUGACGGCGUACCUUUUGUAUAAUGGGUCAGCGACUUACGUUCAGUGGCAAGCUUAACCAGAUAGGGGAGGCGCAGGGAAACCGAGUCCGAAUAGGGCGCCAUAGUCGCUGGGCGUAGACCCGAAACCAGGUGAUCUAUCCAUGGUCAGGAUGAAGGUUGGGUAACACCAGCUGGAGGUCCGAACCGACUAAUGUUGCAAAAUUAGCGGAUGAACUGUGGAUAGGGGUGAAAGGCUAAUCAAACCUGGAAAUAGCUGGUUCUCCCCGAAAACUAUUUAGGUAGUGCGUCAUGUAUUGCUCCAGGGGGUAGAGCACUGUAAUGGUUGUGGGGGCCAUCGCGGCUUACCACGCCAUAGCAAACUCCGAAUACCUGGAAGUAUGAGCAUGGCAGACAGUCGCCGGGUGCUAACGUCCGGCGGCAAGAGGGAAACAACCCAGACCUACAGCUAAGGUCCCAAAGUGUGGCUAAGUGGGAAACGAAGUGGGAAGGCUAAAACAGUCAGGAUGUUGGCUUAGAAGCAGCCAUCAUUUAAAGAAAGCGUAAUAGCUCACUGAUCGAGUCGUCCUGCGCGGAAGAUGUAACGGGGCUAAGCCAUGCACCGAAGCUUAGGCUGCACUCUCUGAGUGCGGGGUAGGGGAGCGUUCUGUAAGCCUGUGAAGGUGUCUCGUAAGGGAUGCUGGAGGUAUCAGAAGUGCGAAUGCUGACAUGAGUAGCGUUAAAGCGGGUGAAAAGCCCGCUCGCCGUAAGCGCAAGGUUUCCUACGCAACGUUCAUCGGCGUAGGGUGAGUCGGCCCCUAAGGUGAGGGCGAAAGCCAUAGCUGAUGGGAAGCUGGUUAAUAUUCCAGCACCGAUUUCUAGUGCGAUGGGGGGACGGAUCGUGGAAGGUUGUCCGGGCGUUGGAAGUCCCGGUUCCUGACCUGUAGGUGUCUGGUAGGUAAAUCCGCCAGGCGUAUGCCGAGGGGUUGGGACGAGCGAGCUUGCUCGCGAAGCAACUGGAAGUGGUUCCAAGAAAAGCCUCUAAGCUUCAGCUAGAAACGACCGUACCGCAAACCAACACUGGUGCGCGAGAUGAGUAUUCUCAGGCGCUUGAGAGAACUCGGGAGAAGGAACUCGGCAAAUUGACACCGUAACUUCGGAAGAAGGUGUGCCUUGGUAGCUUGAGUGUGAACAACACAAGGGCAAAGAGGUUGCAAAGAAUAGGUGGCUGCGACUGUUUAUUAAAAACACAGCACUCUGCAAACACGAAAGUGGACGUAUAGGGUGUGACGCCUGCCCGGUGCCGGAAGGUUAAGUGAUGGGGUGCAAGCUCUUGAUCGAAGCCCCGGUAAACGGCGGCCGUAACUAUAACGGUCCUAAGGUAGCGAAAUUCCUUGUCGGGUAAGUUCCGACCCGCACGAAUGGCGUAACGAUGGCCACACUGUCUCCUCCCGAGACUCAGCGAAGUUGAAAUGUUUGUGAUGAUGCAAUCUCCCCGCAGCUAGACGGAAAGACCCCAUGAACCUUUACUGUAGCUUUGCAUUGGAUUGCGAACCGACUUGUGUAGGAUAGGUGGGAGGCUUUGAAGUCAGGACGCCAGUCUUGAUGGAGCCAUCCUUGAAAUACCACCCUGGUUUGUUCGCGGUUCAGAUCGG